GGGUCACUGCAGAGGCGCGGGUACCAGCCUGGAACAGUGGGUUAAAGGAUCCAGCUUUACUACAGCUUAGUUGCAGCUCGGAUUCAGUUCCUGACCCAAGAACUUGCAUAUACCACAGGUGCAGCCACAGAAAAUAAAUAAAUAAUAAAACUGUUUCUAACUUACUAACAAGGGUUGUCUGUACCUCCAUUUAAUGCUUUUUUUUUUUUUUCUGUCUUUCUCUUUAUGGUCAACUAACCAGUGUCAGAAGGGUCUGCCUUGAAUUGCCAUUCCGGUGGCCUAGUGUUUUAAUGGGCAUUUAUUCAUGAAGUAAAAGUGGAUUGUUGCAUUUUUUUUUAUAAAUAUAUUUUUGUGGCAGGUCAUUGGUGCAUGUAAAAUUGUUUUCUCAGGAUAUUUCAUUUUGACAAAUUGUUUCUUAUCAGAGCUGAUUAACUCUGAAGAGUGAGGAGAUACUCAACACCUCCCCCCGCCCCCCCCCCCACCCCAGUGUGGUUACAUGCAUGCACACCCACGCUCAAGAGCCUCUGAUGUUUCUUUGCGAUAAAUGUAAUCUUUUAAGAGAUUGGACAGCUUCUUGUGUUGCAAGCUUAAGAAAGAGCUUAUCAGCCAAGAUAAUAUGUGGAUUUUCACAGCACCCCAUUCAAGGAGGAGCCAGAGUAUUUUUGGCUAAAUUUCAGGCUUGCUCAUUAUCUUGGAAUAAUUCUGAAAGCUAAAUGAUCCCCAAAGACAAUGACAAAGAAAUGCACAUUUUUUGAAAUGCCCACUUUCAAUGCAGUAUACUUUUCCAAUAAUCAAUUGGUCAAAGCAUGAUUUUCAUUCUAAGCUUUGGGAGGAUGCAAAGCAAAAGCCAUUUCCAGCAGAAGUAUAAGUUGAUGAUUUGGGAUAGAAUCGAUUAAGAUGUAUAUUCUUUUUUUUUCCCCCUUUUAUGGCCACACCUGCAGCAAAUGGAAGUUCCUGGGCUAGGGGUCGAAUCGGAGCUGUAGCCACUGGCCUAUGCCAGAGCCACAGCAACGCGGGAUCUGAGCCACGUCUGCAACCUACACCACAGCUCACAGCAAUGCCGGAUCGUUAACCCACUAAACAAGGGCAGGGACCGAACCCACAACCUCAUGUUUCCUAGUCGGAUUCGUUAACCACUGCGCCACGACGGGAACUCCCAAGAUGUAUAUUCUUAAAUUUUGCCUAAAGAUUUGACCCAGCAAAUCUGUUUCUGGGAAUUUUUCUUCAAUAUGACAGGUUUGCAGAAAUUAAUAUACAAGGCUAUUUAGCACGGUUGCUCAUAAAAAUCAGUAACUAUUCAGUGAAGUGGAAAAUUUAUAAAUAAUGCAAUUUAGUAAGUAGAAUACUGUGCAACCACCAAAAACUGUAGAAUAUCUACCUGAUGGAGGAAAUAAUUCUAAUAAGUGUGAAAGUGGGUAACAAAAGAGUUUAUACACUAUGGUGCUAAGUAGGCAGAAAUGCUUAUCUGUGCAGAAAAUGCUCAGGCACAUCAAAAUAGUAGUGAUUUUCUCUGAGAGGAGAGCAUAUAAGUUUUUUUUUCCUUCUUUGUGCUGUUCUAUUUUUCCAGUUUCUGCAAAUGUCUAUUACCAUUAUUAUAUAUAUUUAAAAACAGUUUCUUUGAGAACUGAGAAGAAUGGCGAGUGAGAGAUAUAAAUGAGGAGACAUUUGGAAAACUGACUUUUCCCUGGAACUUCAAAGCCAUCAUUAUAGGCACCAAAUGUCCAAAACGCCUUUGUUCACUACUGAUUUCUUUAGUCACAUUCUAAUUAGAAUGGUGAUAGAUGAGUUUCUAUUACAGAUAAUGAAGUUAUUUUUAGUAAUGCUCUCUGAGAGAUCCUUCCAAGUAAAGAAAAAGCAUGCAGCCAUGGUUUAGGCAGUGCAUUUGCUUUGUAAGGGCAGUCAUUUAGGAUACUGGGAAAGUAAUUUUAAGUGUUAACCACUGUAUAAUUGAAAGAGGGUGCUUCUGUGGUUGGCUCAAUUUUUGCUUUCCUCUGUGUAAAACUGUCUCUCACUAGUGCUGUCUUUCUUUAAGCAAGCAUGUCCUAAAAAAACAAAAGCUAAACCUGUAGACCCUGGACUCAGUAAUCCCAUCUCCUACCACUUAACUAGUUUUGUCACUCUAAGGGAGUCACUUAAGCAUUUGAGCCUCAGUUUCUUCAAUGUUAAAAAGGGCCAACUACUAAGGUUGCUAUGGUGAAAAGCCUUUGAUUCUGUGAGGCUAUUAUCAAAUAAGAACACAUGCAAGAGUUCUUUGUAAAAUUGAAAACGGCAGUUUGAUGCAAUGAUUGAGUUCCCCCCUCACCUCUCCCCUCAAUGCCAUGCAUCACUAACUCUGUAUAUGAGAACUCACACUGCUUUAUCUCAGGAACAGCUGCUUGCUUCUGCUUGAAAAAAGUUCGGAGACUGCAAAAGUCUUUCUCUUGUUAUGAUUCAAGCGAUGUGAGUGACCCCAGCUAGGAUCCUUCCCUGUAUCCGGGUCAAUGUUCACUUUGUUCAGAGGGACAAAAAGAAAAUGCUUAUGUGUGAUGACCCUCAUGCCAUCAUGAAUUUCAAGGAUAGUGUCAAAGAUACUGGGCCUGUGAAGCAGCUGGCACAAUGCUUAGCAAUGUUCAGCAUGAAUCCAGAUGAAUCCAGAACCUACACAUGCAGGUUCCUAUGAUUCUCGUGUUACUUGUUGGUAUGUAGGUGUGUAUGAGGCACGCACUUAUUUGUGGAUUAGUUCCAUUUUCUGUGUGGGGAUUUUAGAUUUGCAUGCACCUUUUUUUUUUAAUGAAUAGAGUCAAUAAGUGAUAGCAUUCCAGAACUGCAUAGAACAUUUGUAUUCUUGAGCUGGUUAUUAUCUGAUGCCUUUUCUGGGGCUGGUUCCUAAGGACUAAGACAGGAGGAAUCUGCAGGCAGCACCAGCUCUGCAUCUUCCAGAGCAGCAGGUCUUAAGCCUAAAUGUAUGUUAGCAUCACUUGGGGAUUUUUUUUUUCCUUUUUUCUUUUUCUUUUUUUUUUUCUUUUUUUUGGCUUUUCUAGGGCCACGCCCAUGGCAUAUGGAGGUUCCCAGGCUAAGGGUCUAAUCGGAGUUGUAGCCACCAGCCUACGCCACAGCCACAGCAAAGUGGGAUCCAAGCCACAUCUGCGACCUACACCACAGCUCACAGUAACGCCGGAUCCUUAACCCACUGAGCGAGGCCAGGGAUCGAACCCACAACCUCAUGGUUCCUAGUCAAAUUCGUUAACCACUGAGCCUCGACGGGAACUCCACUUGGGGAUUUUUUUUUUUUUUUUAAGAUGCUGAAGUCUGAGCUUCCUGAGCUAAUUGGUCAAAAAAAUCAUACCAUUAAUUGUCUACCAGGGAACACUGAUAAGAAUCACCAAAGUGACAGGAAAGUAGAAAGUUCCCAAGGAGGGAAGCACCAGAAAUCAUCUUUAAAAGAUUGAAAUGAUGCACCCAAAAGGGCUUCAGCAUUUGUUUGUUAUAAUCACCCAAGGCAGGCCUUACACACAGGCUCACAGAGCCUGGAAAUAAGCUACCCUAGAGAAGAACCAAUCGUGGCCACUUGUAAGGAUAUUCCUAAAGAGGUGAGCAAGCAGGCAAAAAAUCAAUAUGCAAUAGGAGGUGAUGACAGAUGUGACAGUGGUGGGUAAAAAUUAGGAGCCCAGAGGAGAAAGAACCUCUCCCAAGUGAGGUAGAAGUGACAUUGGACUUGAUCCUUAAAGGAUGUGGAACUUCACCAGAUAAAGGAGCUGGAACCGGGUGAGGAGCAGGACUCUGGAAAUAGAAGCUUCUCACCCAGGAAUGUUCCCAGGUCUGUCACUUUAUGCUUCCAGAUACCAUCUGCUGCCGGUUCUGUCCUCUGCUCUGUAACUGCGGGAGUGUUAACUAAAUGAUGGUUUAACAGAGACCAGCAGAAGUCUAAGGGAAAUGUCCCAAGAGUGACAAUGCCAGUACAAGUGACCGAGGGUCACCAAAGGGCUUCUGAUGGCAACACCCACCCCCAGAAGGAGCUGCAGCUGAAGUCCAAAGUUUGGGCUCUAAAGAGAAGGGUGGGGAUGACAGGAGGAUUUUUAUAACUUGGAGGUCGUAGCGCAUCUCCUCUCUAGAGGUGGUAACAGAAAAACCCAGAGGUGCAACGACUGGCCGCACCCCGGCAUAUGGACGUUCCCGGGCUAGGGGUCAAAUUGGAGCUGCAGGUGCCACAGCAACCCCAGAUCCAGUCCACAUCUGUGGACUAUGCCACAGCUUGUGGCAAUGCCGGGUCCUUCAUCCACUGAGUGAGACCAGGGAUCAAACCUGCAUCCUCACAGAGACCACAUUAGGUCCUCAACCCACUGAGCCACAACAGGAACUCCUGGAUUGAGUUUCUUAUCCAGUAGUUCUUCCAAUUUUUUUUUGACUUUUUAAAAAUCUUUUUUAAAUUAAAAAAAAUGUUUAUUAUAGUUGAUUGACAGUGUCCUGUCAAUUUCUGCUGUACAGCAAAGUGACACCCAAGUUAUAUAUAUGUAUGUGUGUGUGUGUAUGUGUAUACAUUCUUUUUCUCAUAUCUUCCAUUAUUUUCCAUCACAAGGGAUUGGAUGUAGUUCUCUAAGCUAUACAGCAGGAUCUCAUUGCUUAUUCACUCCAAAUGCAACAGUUUGCAUCUACUAACCCCAAACUCCCAGUCCAUCCCACUCCCUCCCCCUCCUGCUUGGCAACCACAAGUCUGUUCUCUGCCCAUGAGUUUGUUUCUGUUUUGUAGAUAGGUUCAUUUGUGCCACAUUUUAGAUUCCACAUAUAAGUGAUAUCAUAUGGUAUUUGUCUUUCUCUUUCUGACUUACUUCACUUAGUAUGAGAAUCUCUAGUUCUAUCCAUGUUGCUGCAAAUGGUAUUUUCUUUUUUAUGGCUGAGUAGUAUUCCUUUGUGUAUAUAUACCACAUCUUCUUAAUCCAUUCAUCUGUCAAUGGACAUUUAGGCUGUUUCCAUGUCUUGGCUAUUGUGAAUAGUGCUGGAAUGAAUAUAGUGGUGCAUGUAUCUUUUAGAAUGAAAGUUUUUUUAUCCAGAUAUAUGCCCAGGAGUGGGAUUACUGAAACUUCUGGUAGUUCUAUAUUUAGUUCUCUGAGGAACCUCCAUACUGUUUUCCAUAAUGGUUGUACCAGUCUACAUUCCCACCAACAGAGAAGUAGGGUUCCCUUUUCUCCACACCCUCUCUAGCACUUGUUAUUUGUAGACUUAUUAAUGAUAGCUGUUCUGACCAGUGUGAGAUGGUACCUCAUUGUAGUUUUGAUCUACAUUUCUCUAAUAAUUAGUGAUGUUGAGCAUUUUUUUCAUGUGUUUGUUGGCUAUCUGUAUAUCUUCUUUGGAGAAAUAUCUAGGUUUUCUGCCCAUUUUUCAUUUGGGUUGUUUUUGUUGUUGUUGUUCAGGUUUUUUUGCUUUUUGUUUUUGUUUUUGCUGUUGAGUUGUAUGAGUUGUUUGUAUAUUUUGGGGAUUAAGCCCUUGUUCGUUGUAUCAUUUGCAACUAUGUUCUCCCAUUCCAUAGGGUGUCUUUUUGGGGUUUUAUUUCCUUUGCUGUGCAAAAGCUUUUACGUUUGAUUAGGUCCCAUUAUUUUUGCUUUUACUUCUCUUGCCUUGGGAGACUGACCUAAGGAAACAUUUACACAGUUGAUGUCAGAGAAUAUUUUGCCUAUGUUCUCUUCUAGUUUUAUGAUGUCUUAUGUUUAAGUCUUUAGGCCAUUUUUAUAAUGAUUUUUAUCUUUUCUAUUAUAGCUGAUUUACAGUGUUAUUUAUUUUUGUGCAUGGUGUGAGGGUGUGUUCUAGUUUCACUGAUUUACAUGUUGCUGUCCAGUUUUCCCAGCACCACUUGCUGAAAAGACUGUCUUUUUCUCAUUUUAUAUUCUUUGCCUCCUUUGUCAAAGAUUAAUUGACCACAGGUGUCAGAAUUAUUAAAUGAAUUUUUUGUAUAAAACUUCUCAACUAGCAGAAAUAGGUAGAACAGAGUAGUCUGAUUUCUUUAUACCGUAUAUGUCACACAUGACUUAGCAAUGUUCAAAGGCUGACAGUACUGUGUAAUAUACUUCAUGCCAAUACUAUGAAUGAUUUCUUCUUUAAUAAUUCAAAACACUUUUUCAGGAUCUUUCCAUGUAUCAGAAUCCUCAUAUAUUAUUUCUUGAGUUGUAAUUACAGAGUUGUAAGUACAGGAGGCAAAGGGAAUGUAUGUUACUGACCUCAGGACAGAAUCUGAAAGUUGCUUUUUGGAAUGAAUUUGUAACAGCCCGUUAUGUGACUCUCUCCAAAAAAGAAUGUAAUCUAAAAUUCACUUUAUGUGCAAACAUUAAGUGCUUUGAACUUUUAAACACUUGAAUUUAAGGUGAAGGAGUUUUUCCUGAAAAAAAGAUACAGGGAUGGUCCAUUUGAAGCAUGAAGCAUGACAUUACCUCUUAUGUUAGGAGAGAAUUAGAUUAUCAGGAGCAUCUGGGGAAGUCAAGCCAGCUGUGGGCGCCAUGGGCAUUGGUUGGGAUGUUCUUAGAUUUUAAAAUGGGUGCAGAGUUCCGUGGUGAUACAGUGGGCUAAAGAUCUGGCAUUGGCACUGCUGUGGUGCAGUUUCAACCCUGACCUAGGAACUUCCACAGGCCAUCGGUACAGCCAAAAAAUAAAAUACAAUAAAAUAGGUGAGUUAUCCUUAGGAUUGAACACAUCCUCAAAUGGGGUGGGCAGCCUGGCUUCCUUGUGCAAGAGUCAUUUCUCAGGUUUCUUCUAGUCACUUCUGAGAAAGUAUUUUCCAUCCAUCAGGGUUAGCGGAUGGGAGCCAGUGGAGGAAGGGGGCAGCUGGAACAGAGGGAACAGAGGUUGGCAAGAGACAGUGUAAAGAUGAAAAGUUGAGAGGGAAGUCGGGCUUGACUGACAGUAUCCGGACACUUACCAAGAACUGGCUGCUCUGGCUACAGGUGGCUUCUUCAAACUUGGACAUCAUGUUUGCAUGUCAUUCUCCUUCCUCCUCAGUGUGACCCGGCAGGGGGCAGGGGAUAAAGAGGAGGCAGAAGUCUCACUGCGUGUUCUGGGCAGAAGGAUCCCCAUUAAUUAAGGGCUGAUGAUAAAUGGAUGGUAUUUAAGAACUCGUGACUAAUAUCUAGCUGUCAAUCCCUUGCAGUGGUCCAUGCUGUGCUCGGAAUGGCUCCUGCAAAAAUUUUUGACAGGCAUUGUAUAUUAUAAAGAAUAAACACCUGACCUCAGUCCUUUUGUACUGGCACCAUCUAUAAGACCAGCACACUGAGAGGUGACUUCUAAGUCACCCGUCCUAAACACAGACACACACACACACUUCACCCCCCUGCUUCCAGCUCCAGCCACCUCCCAGUGCCCACUGGACUGCUUUAAGAUGGCUUUUCCAGAAACUUCCUCUAUCCUUGUUGAUUUCAUUUAACCCCAUCUGUAAGCAGUCUUUCAUUAAUGUCUCAGUCAUCCCCUUCUGAAGGUGCCUUUUGUUCCUGCAAGAACACUUGAUCUGUACAGCCACCCAUUAGCUUUGGGACGUUGGGUCAUUAUUAAAAAAUCUUUUGUUCACAUCUUAAGGUGGAAAAUCUGUAAACUAUGUCGAAGUGACAAUAUUUUACCAGCUCUGACCUACAGAAAUGACAGCGUCAUAGGCUGUGAGAAAGACUUAAACAUAAAAUGAUUCAAAUAGUACCUGACACGCUGUAAGCAUUUCCUUUCUAGUGAUGUCGCUCGGACGCCAUCAUUUAUGUCUUUGCCCAACAAGAGCAAGUCUACGCUGCCUUCUCCCCCGUUCCAGGUUGACACGGCUCAGGUACUGCAGGGCUUUCUCCCCAAGCCCAGAGGCAAACUCAAACCCUAGGAAGGGAAGAGGCACCACUUCCCAAACCCCAUGACCCUCUUCUUCUGGUCUUUCCCAAAAGGGAUUUGCAUGCCCACCACCACCUGGUCUAGUGCAAGACCUGAGGAAGAGGACCAUGGGGUUGGGAAGCUAGGGUUUGAGUUUACCUCCUCAACAGAGGCAUCCUCCAGGCAUCUCUCAACAGAAAGUUUUCACAAUAAUGUUCUGCCUUACAGUAACGUUACAUCACUGGUAUUGAAACCCUGGGUAAUCACUAAAUCCACUUACCUAGAAAAACACAAAAAUAAAAUAAAAAUUAAAAAAAUAAACUGUUCUCUAGAAAAAGACAAAAAAAA
This 8151-nucleotide long non-coding RNA is filed under the name Sus scrofa (pig). RNAcentral describes it as "lncRNA (ENSSSCG00025025908.1)". The record is from RNAcentral. Lineage: Eukaryota; Metazoa; Chordata; Mammalia; Artiodactyla; Suidae.